This 217-nucleotide ribosomal RNA is filed under the name uncultured bacterium. Its description in RNAcentral is "partial 16S ribosomal RNA". It matches the Rfam family "Bacterial small subunit ribosomal RNA", at positions 1283 to 1500 of the family's 1533-position model. The record is from RNAcentral.
CCAUCCCAGUUCGGAUCGCAGGCUGCAACCCGCCUGCGUGAAGUUGGAAUCGCUAGUAAUCGCGGAUCAGCAUGCCGCGGUGAAUACGUUCCCGGGCCUUGUACACACCGCCCGUCACACCAUGAGAGUUGGGAAUACCCGAAGCCUGUGAGCUAACUUUUAGAGGCAGCAGUCGAAGGUAGAAUCAAUGAUUGGGGUGAAGUCGUAACAAGGUACC